CUCAUGGUUACAUUCAAACCGCCAAAAAUUAGGUUAAUUUAUAGUGAAAGCGAGACUCAUCUUAGGGUUUCUCUUCCGCAUCGUCGUCACCACCUCCCACCUCCUCGUGUGGCUUCUUUCUCUAAGAGCAGAGGAGAAAUACAAUGGGUAGAUGUCCGACGAGGAAAGUGAAGAAGAGGCGUUUGUCUCACAAAACAGCUCGUCGUGACAAAUUCGAAGUCAAAGAUAUCCUUUUCCUAAGAUUUGAUGAAAAUAUAAUGUUUUUCUUUUUCUUUUCCGUUGUGUUUGCCUUGACGGAGCUUUUUUUCACGCGACGAUUUGGUGUAUACGGAGUUGCGUAAACCAGAGGCGGAGGUCAAGCCUUUGAAGCUUGACGAGGAUUUGCCCGGAAUGGGUCAAUUCUACUGUUUACACUGCGAUCGGUACUUCUCCAAAGCGUCUGUGCGAGAUGACCAUUUCAAGACGAAGAAACAUAAGAAGCGUGUGAAGAUAAUGAAUGGACCAGCGCCACACUCACAACUCGAUGCAGAUUUAGCCGCUGGAAUGGGAAUCCCGGACAAUGGUCCGAAGCUCAUGAUGGCUGCUUGAGUUUACUUCAGUUUACUUCAUUAUCUUUCACACUGCAACAGUUUAUGGAAAACCUAGAUUGUUGUUGGUAGAUGGUCCUUAGUAGUUAAACUAUAUAAUUCCUAAAUUAAUGAUAUGUUUUUUUUGUUCUU
Raphanus sativus (radish) is the source of this 719-nucleotide long non-coding RNA. RefSeq lists it as uncharacterized. The record is from RefSeq and is a predicted model, not a curated record. NCBI's taxonomy places the organism in Eukaryota, Viridiplantae, Streptophyta, Magnoliopsida, Brassicales, Brassicaceae. The transcript is spliced from 4 exons.